CCUCUCUGAGCGCGUGCUGAGAGGACGAGAGCACAUGGAAGUCACGUCGAGAUUAUUUUUUCGGCCACUUUGCUACAAACAAGACAAAAGAGGAUUACAAAGGUGCCAUUUUUAAAGCAGGAGAAAGACUAUGACACGCUGCUUCAAGAAAGGGACCGGUGACGGGAUGCAAAACGUGGGCGUGGGAUUCGGUUUUUGUCCCGGCUACAUGGAUCGUGCGUACUCUCACUCGAGUAGCUAAGAUGGUGUGACCUUCUUCUUACCUGCCCCCACCCCCCCCACACCUCCCAGACCCGGCCAACACGGGCGGCGGCAUUUUUCACACCACAACUUGUUUUUUUUACACAGUCCAGAAGUGAGACCCCCCCUCGCACCUCUCUAUUGACUUCAGCGAGGCGGAACGCUUCCCAUAACUUCCCUGCAGCAGAGUCAAAACGAGGGUUUAAAAAGGAAAAAAAAAGUUCGGACAUGCAGCAGUGUCCAUGUGAGAAGACAACAGAUGAAGCCGCGAUGAAAAACGACGAUGUUUGUGGAAGAUGACAUGUGCUUAUCACCCCCUACAGGACUGGAGUGGAACUGCAUCACAUGAUAGCUCUUGGAAGGACAUCUCCGACUCCCUAUGCCCCCCUCCCAGCUGCAGGCUGACCCCUCGGCCCUGCCUGUGCGGUCCUGCCUCACUGCUCCUGUCUACUGGCUCUCUGCUGCCCCCUAAAGCUCACAAGAAGCAGAAAUAUUCCCAUGAUGUCGCUGGGCUGGCGUGCUUCUUUGAACCUUUUGGCCAUUCACACGCAUUCCUGGCCCAAUGGGAGCUGUCACUUUGCGUGGACAUUGUCCCCCUCCAGAGUGCGCGGCUAUAGGCGGCGUCUGAUGUCCACUCGGGGCCACUGAAUGGCCAAACAAUAAGACCCCCAGCGGCUCCCUCUCUCUGUGACCCGCCCGGGCUCUGAUUCGCCUUGGCAAGGGGGACAGAGGCCCAAAACAAAGCUGAAGGAGUCUCCAGCGAAGGGGUGCAAGAGGUCAGGCCCAACGCCCUGCUAACAGGCCCGUCCUCUAGUUUGGGGAAGGGACAGCGAUCCCGGGAGACAAUGGGAUAAAAGGAACCUCCAAAGGCAUUAAAUUCUGAGGAAGUGAUGGCCGUGAAUGAUGACAGAGGCAGAAUAGACACUCUUGAGGUGGGAGGGCCUCUCUUCUCCGAAACCGGGGGACAAUUCCAGUUGGACGCAGGAAUCCCGCUCGGGCCUCCAAAAGACCCCCUACAGCGCAACGUGACACCAGCCGGGGCCCCUCCGAGCCAAGCUAAGCUAUGCCAAAGUCAACCCGAAAGGAAAAGACGGGCGAUGCAUCUCAACUCUGCAGUGCAGGGAUGCUGCAGAAGGACACGCCCAUCCGCACGGAUUCCUCCACGUGGAAAAACACGAAGACGUGGGAAAAAAAACCAGGAUGAAAAGGAUGCUGCAGGAAUGCUGCAGGACACGCCCACCUACAGGUAUUCCUCCUCAUGGAAAAGCAUGGAUCAGGGAAAAACUGGAUGAGAACGUAAGUAUGAAGCAUUGUUACCCUGACCAAACCAUCCCCUGACCAAGACACACCCACAGAUCUCCCGGCCGACCGUCCAACGCCGACCGUCCAACCGCCCAACUGAGCCUCGCCACGCCCCGACCGACAGACUCCUCAACUGACCCCCGACCAACCGACUCCCCUCACCCCCGACAGACACACCCUGACUGAUUCAUUCCCCCCACCGACUGACACUACCCUCAGACUGACUCACUCCCCCGACCGACCGACACUACCCCCGACUCACCCUUUCCCCCCGACUCACCCUUUCCCCCCGACUGACUCCCCCACACACACACUCCCCACACCCCCCCCCACACACACACUCCCCACACACACACUCCCCACACCCCCCCCCACACACACACACACUCCCCACACCCCCCCCCCCACACACACACUCCCCACACCCCCCCC
Non-coding RNA from Doryrhamphus excisus (bluestripe pipefish), 1974 nucleotides. Lineage: Eukaryota; Metazoa; Chordata; Actinopteri; Syngnathiformes; Syngnathidae. The record is from RefSeq and is a predicted model, not a curated record.